Molecule: transfer RNA, 76 nt
Filed under: Acholeplasmataceae bacterium
Lineage: Bacteria; Bacillati; Mycoplasmatota; Mollicutes; Acholeplasmatales; Acholeplasmataceae
Also listed under: 1 other name
Description: tRNA-Lys
Rfam family: tRNA
About the family: Transfer RNA (tRNA) molecules are approximately 80 nucleotides in length. Their secondary structure includes four short double-helical elements and three loops (D, anti-codon, and T loops). Further hydrogen bonds mediate the characteristic L-shaped molecular structure. tRNAs have two regions of fundamental functional importance: the anti-codon, which is responsible for specific mRNA codon recognition, and the 3' end, to which the tRNAs corresponding amino acid is attached (by aminoacyl-tRNA synthetases). tRNAs cope with the degeneracy of the genetic code in two manners: having more than one tRNA (with a specific anti-codon) for a particular amino acid; and 'wobble' base-pairing, i.e. permitting non-standard base-pairing at the 3rd anti-codon position.
Source: RNAcentral
GCCUCCUUAGCUCAGCUGGCAGAGCAACUGACUCUUAAUCAGUGGGUCAACGGUUCAAUCCCGUUAGGGGGUACCA